RNAcentral lists this small RNA (738 nucleotides) under Arabidopsis thaliana (thale cress). RNAcentral's name for it is "ATSL284050". The record is from RNAcentral. Lineage: Eukaryota; Viridiplantae; Streptophyta; Magnoliopsida; Brassicales; Brassicaceae.
ACUAUGGAUAAAAAAAGAAGAACAAGGAUCCUUAAACAAAAGCAAUAAUCUAGUGUUUAAACAAGGAUCCUUAAAUUAGCUUACAACACAAAGGGUCUCUACAUAUUGAUGUGCUUCAAUUCAUAAUGAAAUUCGAAAUGGCGAACCAUAAACAAAAUCUGAAAAGUGCCCAUUUGCUAGCUAGCUCUCCUCAUAUCCAAAAAGCUAAGAUUCUUUCAGAAACACUAACAAUUGAAAUUUGGACAAACCCACAAGCUAGUAGAACUAACCGGAGUAGGAGUUGAGAGAGAGGUCGAGCUUGGUCGUCGCCGAGAGAGAGCUUUGUCGCCGGGAGAGAGAGCGUCGUUGCCGAGAGAGAGAGAAGAGAAGAAAAUUGAUGUGUUGAAAAAAUUGAUGGGCCAACCAUAAACCGUGUGGGCUAGCCCAUUAAACCCAUGGACAAAAUUGGUCUUUAGACCAUAUAGCCCGUUUUCAUUACGGGCCGACCAUGGACUGUCCAUAAUGUUGUGGACUGGGCUUAGCCCAUGGUCAGAUGACCAUUUGACACUUCUAAUUGCUUUCAUCUUUAUUUGUUAAUUUGGUCCAUUAGCUCCUUCGAUACUUGUACAAGUCUCCAUUCCGAUUUAAAUAAUAUCUCUUGUCUCAAAAAAAGGACUAAACUUGGGCACAAAGAAACCAACCCUUUUUAACUACUACUAGACCACCAUCAUGUUGGUGUAUUGCUCUCAUCUUACUUGA